GAUGAACGCUAGCUACAGGCUUAACACGUGCAAGUCGAGGGGCAGCACGGUGUAGCGAUACACUGGUGGCGACCGGCGCACGGGUGAGUAACACGUGUGCAACCAACCCCGUACCGGGAGAUAACCCGCGGAAACGUGGACUAACAUCCCAUGAUACUCGAGAGCCGCAUGGCUCUAGAUUUAAAAUUCCGGUGGUACGGGACGGGCACGCGCGACAUUAGGUAGUUGGCGGGGUAAGGGCCCACCAAGCCGACGAUGUCUAGGGGUUCUGAGAGGAAGACCCCCCACACUGGGACUGAGACACGGCCCAG
Molecule: ribosomal RNA, 311 nt
Filed under: uncultured bacterium
Lineage: Bacteria
Description: bacterial SSU rRNA
Rfam family: Bacterial small subunit ribosomal RNA
Source: RNAcentral